UUCGCAAUGCCCGAAAGGGUGACGAAGCGACGCCGCGUGGGUGAGGAAGGCCUUCGGGUUGUAAAGCCCUGUCAGGAGUUAAGAAAUGUAAGUGUGCUAAUAUCGCAUUUACUUGACGAAGGCUCCAAAGGAAGUCACGGCUAACUCUGUGCCAGCAGCCGCGGUAAUACAGAGGUGGCAAGCGUUGUUCGGAAUUAUUGGGCGUAAAGAGCACGUAGGUGGGUUUGUAAGUCAGAUGUGAAAGCCUCCUGUUCAACGGGAGAAUUGCAUCUGAAACUACUGAUCUUGAGUAUAGGAGGGGAGAAUGGAACUUCUGGUGGAGCGGUGAAAUGCGUAGAUAUCAGAAGGAACGCCGGCGGCGAAGGCGAUUCUCUGGCCUAUUACUGACACUCAGUGUGCGAAAGCUAGGGGAGCAAACGGGAUUAGAUACCCCGGUAGUCCUAACUGUAAACGAUGGGCACUAAGUAGAGGGGUUUU
RNAcentral lists this ribosomal RNA (477 nucleotides) under Candidatus Scalindua brodae. RNAcentral's name for it is "bacterial SSU rRNA". It matches the Rfam family "Bacterial small subunit ribosomal RNA", at positions 365 to 832 of the family's 1533-position model. The record is from RNAcentral. RNAcentral also lists the same sequence under 1 other name. Lineage: Bacteria; Pseudomonadati; Planctomycetota; Candidatus Brocadiia; Candidatus Brocadiales; Candidatus Scalinduaceae.